GGAGGAUGUAUAGCAAUAGGCUAAUUGUUUCAUAUAUAUGGAACAAUAUCGAUUUAAUCGAAUAAAAUUCUGGGUAGAUUUAUGAUGAUGACAUUGUUUACCUAUAAGUCUUGACCAAAUUACGUGCCAGCAGUCGCGGUAAUACGUAGAAGACAAGUGUUAUUCAUCUUUAAUAGGUUUAAAGGGUACCUAGACGAUAAAUCAAGCCUUAUUUUUUUUAAAGGGACUAAUUUAAUAGAGUUACUUAUGAGGGGGUAGUAAUGUACUGCUGGUGUAGAGAUAAAAUUUUGUGAUACCUUUUUUCUAACGAAAAUUAAUGGCACAGGUUUAGGCGAAAGCAUCCCCUUAUGUGAUAACUGACGUUGAAGGACGAAGGCUUUUUGUAGCGAAUAGGAUUAGAUACCCUAGUAGUCAAAGCAGAAAAUGAUGAAUGUCAUAGAUUAGAUUUAAUAUUAUUUAUUCUAUAAAUGAAAGUGUAAGCAUUCCACCUCAAGAGUAAUUUGGCAACAUUGGAACUGAAAUCAUUAGACCGUUUCUGAAACCAGUAGUGAAGUAUGUUAUUUAAUUAGAUAAUCCGCUAAAAACCUUACCACAAUUUGAAUAUUUAUGUUUAUUUCUUCAUUAGAAGAAAUUAAUAUAUUUACAAGCGUUGCACGGCUGUCUUCAGUUAAUGUCGUGAGAUUUUGGUUAGUUCCAUUAAAUUAACGUAAACCCUUACUUUAUUUUUUUAUAUAAAGUUGUUCCCCAUUAUAUAGGAUAUGAUAACAGGGAUCAAGACAAGUCAUCAUGGCCUGAA
This 796-nucleotide ribosomal RNA is filed under the name Lichenosticta alcicornaria. RNAcentral describes it as "mitochondrial SSU rRNA". It matches the Rfam family "Bacterial small subunit ribosomal RNA", at positions 356 to 1204 of the family's 1533-position model. The record is from RNAcentral. Lineage: Eukaryota; Fungi; Ascomycota; Lecanoromycetes; Lecanorales.